Molecule: non-coding RNA, 136 nt
Organism: Triticum aestivum (bread wheat)
Lineage: Eukaryota; Viridiplantae; Streptophyta; Magnoliopsida; Poales; Poaceae
Source: Rfam
CUAGUACUCCCUCCUUCCCAAAAUUCUUGUCUUAAAUUUGUCUAGAUACGAAUGUAUCUAAUACUAAAACAAUGACUUGAUACAUCCGUAUUUAGACGAAUCUAAGACAAGAAUUUUGGAACACAGGGAGUACCUC